AAUCAACAGAUGUUUCCAAUCGCAUGGGCUGUUGUUGACAUAGAGACAAAACAUAGUUGGAGUUUUUUUCUCAAGUACUUGAUAGAAGAUCUGAACUUAGGCACAGGACAUGGACUGACUGUUAUGUCAGAUAUGCAGAAGGGCCUUGUACCAGCUUUAUGUGAGUUGCUACCAGAUAGUGAGCAGAGAAGGUGUGCUAGACAUAUCUGGUCCAACUGACAUCAAUUAUGGAGUGGUGAAGAAAGAAGGAAACAGUUCUGUAGAUAUGCAAAGUCAAGUUUUGAAGUGAAAUUUGAAGAUGAGAUGGAUAAACUCAACAAAUUAGGUAAUAAAAUUUGUGAGGACUUGUUGCAUUAUGAAAA
This is a non-coding RNA of Solanum lycopersicum (tomato), 362 nucleotides long. The record is from RefSeq and is a predicted model, not a curated record. Lineage: Eukaryota; Viridiplantae; Streptophyta; Magnoliopsida; Solanales; Solanaceae.